This is a non-coding RNA of Acanthosepion pharaonis, 98 nucleotides long. The record is from the annotation of a GenBank genome assembly. Lineage: Eukaryota; Metazoa; Mollusca; Cephalopoda; Sepiida; Sepiidae.
AUGGCCACAUCCUGUUGAAACAUUGGUUCCCAUAAGAUUAACAAAGUUAAGCAAUGUUGAGCCUGGUCAGUACUUAGAUGGGUGACCAGUUGGAAAUA